GUUUCGAGGAUAUUUCUUUGAACCUUCUGCGUUUCCUUUUCCCCUAAUAACUGUGUACCUUUUAAGCUUGAUGGAGGUGCAGUUUAUAACUCUUUGAGCAUUAUCCAUGAAGCGUGCUACAGGAAUACAACAAGAAGAGCUACCUCAUCUAGCAAAUUAUCCAUGAAGCGUGCUACAGGAAUACAACAGGAAGAGCUACCCCAUGCAUCUAGCAAAUUAUCCAUGAAGUGUGCUACUGGAAUACAACAGGAAGAACUACCCCAUCCUGCAUCUAGCUGGACCGAGCUGCAAAAUAAUCCACCGAGUCGAGUGAAAACAGGGCAUAGUCUAUCAAGAUAUGAUAGUUUCGAAAUUGGAAACUGAACUGAGGUAAUUGUGUUAUGUUGUAGUUUGAGUUUAUUUAUUUAUUUAUUAGGCUUUGCCAAAUCAACUUAAAAUCACUUGCUAUACCUA
This is a non-coding RNA of Paramuricea clavata, 453 nucleotides long. NCBI's taxonomy places the organism in Eukaryota, Metazoa, Cnidaria, Anthozoa, Malacalcyonacea, Plexauridae. The record is from the annotation of a GenBank genome assembly.